UACGUAGGGUGCAAGCGUUAAUCGGAAUUACUGGGCGUAAAGCGUGCGCAGGCGGUUAUGUAAGACAGUUGUGAAAUCCCCGGGCUUAACCUGGGAACUGCAUUGGUGACUGGCAGGCUUUGAGUGUGGCAGAGGGAGGUAGAAUUCCACGUGUAGCAGUGAAAUGCGUAGAGAUGUGGAGGAAUACCGAUGGCGAAGGCAGCCUCCUGGGCCAACACUGACGCUCAUGCACGAAAGCGUGGGGAGCAAACAGGA
RNAcentral lists this ribosomal RNA (255 nucleotides) under uncultured bacterium. Its description in RNAcentral is "partial 16S ribosomal RNA". It matches the Rfam family "Bacterial small subunit ribosomal RNA", at positions 524 to 777 of the family's 1533-position model. The record is from RNAcentral.